This 269-nucleotide ribosomal RNA is filed under the name Enterobacter cloacae. RNAcentral's name for it is "partial 16S ribosomal RNA". It matches the Rfam family "Bacterial small subunit ribosomal RNA", at positions 47 to 314 of the family's 1533-position model. Lineage: Bacteria; Pseudomonadati; Pseudomonadota; Gammaproteobacteria; Enterobacterales; Enterobacteriaceae. The record is from RNAcentral.
CCUAACACAUGCAAGUCGAACGGUAGCACAGAGAGCUUGCUCUCGGGUGACGAGUGGCGGACGGGUGAGUAAUGUCUGGGAAACUGCCUGAUGGAGGGGGAUAACUACUGGAAACGGUAGCUAAUACCGCAUAAUGUCGCAAGACCAAAGAGGGGGACCUUCGGGCCUCUUGCCAUCAGAUGUGCCCAGAUGGGAUUAGCUAGUAGGUGGGGUAACGGCUCACCUAGGCGACGAUCCCUAGCUGGUCUGAGAGGAUGACCAGCCACACU